UCCUGGCUCAGGAUGAACGCUAGCGGCAGGCUUAAUACAUGCAAGUCAAGGGGGUAGCAAUACAACCGGCGCACGGGUGAGUAACGCGUACACAACAUACCAUAUACUGGAGUAUAGCUUUGGGAAACUGAAGGUAAUCCUCCAUAACAUUGCGAGAGGGCAUCUGAUUGCAAUUAAAGUUCCGGCGGUAUAUGAUUGGUGUGCGUUUGAUUAGCUAGUUGGUAGGGUAACGGCCUACCAAGGCGACGAUCAAUAGCUGGCGUGAGAGCGCGACCAGCCACACUGGAACUGAGACACGGUCCAGACUCCUACGGGAGGCAGCAGUAGGGAAUAUUGGACAAUGGGCGAAAGCCUGAUCCAGCCAUGCCGCGUGAUAGAUGAAGGCCCUCUGGGUUGUAAAUAUCUUUUAUCUGGGAAGAAACUCCUCUAUUCUUAGAGGCCUGACGGUACCAGAGGAAUAAGCACCGGCUAACUCCGUG
RNAcentral lists this ribosomal RNA (479 nucleotides) under uncultured bacterium. RNAcentral's name for it is "bacterial SSU rRNA". It matches the Rfam family "Bacterial small subunit ribosomal RNA", at positions 17 to 507 of the family's 1533-position model. The record is from RNAcentral.